GAUGAACGCUAGCGACAGGCCUAACACAUGCAAGUCGAGGGGCAGCAUAAAGGUAGCAAUACUUUGGUGGCGACCGGCGCACGGGUGAGUAACACGUAUGCAACCUACCUGUAAGAGGGGAAUAACCCGGAGAAAUUCGGACUAAUACCGCAUAAUACUGAUUAUCUGCAUGGAUUGAUCAGUUAAACAUUUAUGGCUUACAGAUGGGCAUGCGUAUGAUUAGAUAGUUGGUAGGGUAACGGCCUACCAAGUCAACGAUCAUUAGGGGUUCUGAGAGGAAGGUCCCCCACACUGGUACUGAGACACGGACCAGACUCCUACGGGAGGCAGCAGUGAGGAAUAUUGGUCAAUGGGCGAGAGCCUGAACCAGCCAAGUCGCGUGAAGGAAGAAGGUUCUAUGGAUUGUAAACUUCUUUUGUAAGGGAAUAAAAGAGUUACGUGUAACUUAUUGUAUGUACUUUACGAAUAAGGAUCGGCUAACUCCGUGCCAGCAGCCGCGGUAAAACGU
RNAcentral lists this ribosomal RNA (508 nucleotides) under uncultured bacterium. RNAcentral's name for it is "bacterial SSU rRNA". It matches the Rfam family "Bacterial small subunit ribosomal RNA", at positions 28 to 528 of the family's 1533-position model. The record is from RNAcentral.